Molecule: long non-coding RNA, 2133 nt
Organism: Cyclopterus lumpus (lumpfish)
Lineage: Eukaryota; Metazoa; Chordata; Actinopteri; Perciformes; Cyclopteridae
Exons: 3
Source: RefSeq, a predicted model, not a curated record
GUUACUUUUCCACAGGAUGAGUGAGUCAUAAGGGACUUUUGGCAGGAAACAAAAGCUUUGCAGCUGAGUCUUCUUCACUUCCUUUGGACGGAUGCUGUAUGUUUGCUUCAUCCUUGAGGGUGAGAGAACCACCCUCCUAGGUGGCGCUAACGCGUAGAACACAUUGCCAAGAACGUUUAAGAGACGGUAGAGGAACACGGGGCAAAACCGAGGGAAACCACAAAGUACGGCCGACAGCGCUCAUUGCGCAGUUGGACAAAGAAGGUGAGAGGUGAGCAAACAGACACCACGUGACCUGUUGUGUUAAAAAAAAUGACCAUAAUCCUGCGAUUGCAAGGCCUGGAUGUGAAGGCAGGUACUGAAGAUAUCCGGACAUUCUUUGAAGGAUUUCACAUACCUGAUGGUGGAGUGUACAUAGUGGGAGGACGUCUCAGAGAGGCUUUUAUUGCAUUCACCACUGAGAGAGAUGCCCAGCUUGCCAUGCGGUACACUGAGAACUUCCUCAAAGGGGUCUAGGUGAUUCUACAGAUAAGCAGCAUGGCAGAGCUGGAGCAAAAACUAAAGUCCUCAUUAAAGAGGAAGAAAGCGUCCUCCAUGCAGCCUACUGUGAAGAAACCUCAGUCGACUACAGAUGUGAAUGUGCUACCUUUGAAUGCACAUCCUCUUAAUCCAAAUGCUGCGAAUCUGCCGCCACCUCUUAAUCCUGAAAUUGCGAAUCCACACUCUUAAAUGCACACUCACUUGAUUCCAAUGCUGCCUUCCUUCUUGGGAUUUGUACUGCCCUUCAAGGUCUCCAUUCAUCUAUUCAAAGUGAAAACAGUGUGGCAGUGCCAAGAGUUGAUUUCCCCAAGGCCGCCGACGGCACAGAUGUGUGUAAUGAAAUGAGGACACAAAAGCAAACUCUGGACUCGAGGCCAGGCUACGUCAGACUCUUUGGUUUGCCAGCCUCCACGACAAAAGAGGACAUCUGCCAUUUUUUUCAAAAGGGCUGACGGUACAGGAAGCCAUAGUGAAUGUUGAGUUGGGACGUAGCCACGCCUGCCUUGUGAAGUUUGCAAACCUGCAGGACGCAUGUGAUGCUCUUCUCUUCAACCAACAGUCACUAGGCCCCAUCUGUGUGGAGGUACGUGGAGCUACCGAGAAGAUGUGGACAGCUUUUGAAGUUGGGGAGUGUGUGACACCCAAGAAAAGCCCUCUUGAGGGAACUGUAAACCUCACAGAAAAAAAACACUACUGCACUGCAGCGCAAGAGAGCAUUCAACCAGUUGCCAUCAGAAUCACCAAAAGAGCAAAGAUGUCCUCCAACUAGAGAGUUCAUUGUCAUGGUCACUAAUAUUCCCAAAAGUAUGACCAAGACUGAAAUAAAAGAAUUGUUUGGAUGUCCAAACAUUGCACACUACAAUGUACAACAUCUGCUUGACAAGGAAGGCAUCAGAACAGCCACCGCUUUUCUUAUUUUUAACUGCACUGAGGAUUAUGAGUAUGCAAUGAAUCUCACUGGCUGCCAUGUGGGCUCUGAUGCCAUUGCGGUCUCAUCAAUCACCAAACAACUAUGUGGGACAUGAUGGCCAAAACGCAUCACAAAGUCUUGAGCAAUGGCCGAGACCGGCACAAAGGACAAACCAAAUCGAAAAGAAUAAAUCAAAUCCAUUAGAGACACCAGAAGAAACGGCAAUCGUAAACCCGGACCCAGCAGAUAAGACAUGUCUGUUUGUCAGAAACAUGCCUGCCGAUGUACAGAAACACCAUAUUCAAAGACUUUUUAGUAAAUACAAAGUAAGGGAGGAUGAUAUCAUCUCACUGCACGACGGUGAAGGCACGGUAUUGGUGAGGCUGUGGUUCAGUUUGAAUCUGAAAAACUCGCUGCACUGGCUCAUAAGAGGACACGGUCAAAACUUCCUGGGGACAAAAGUGCUUCUUCACACUCAUAAAAUGUGACCUCAGAUGGAGGACAUCUUGGCAAGAAAUGUUUCAGGAAAUUGAACAUUAUCGCUCAAAUGCAAACACUGGCCAAAGAUUGAUUAGGGUUACUUGCCUACAAACUGUAAUUCUGCUUCGUAGCAUCAACCGUCUGAGUCUUCACAAUCUGUCUGAAAAUGUCCAUGCAUUAAAUAAAUUUUAUGGUACAUUUAA